Molecule: transfer-messenger RNA, 327 nt
Filed under: marine eukaryotic metagenome
Description: Alphaproteobacteria transfer-messenger RNA
Rfam family: Alphaproteobacteria transfer-messenger RNA
About the family: Bacterial tmRNA, also known as 10Sa RNA or SsrA, is named for its dual tRNA and mRNA-like properties.
Source: RNAcentral
CCUUUAAUUUAAAUGCGAAUCAGAUUACAUUCAUAGAGCCGGCUUGCCGGCUAUGGCGAUAAACGGCUUGUGUAAUAAGCACAGUGGACCCGGGGGCAGUACCCGGCGCCUCCACCAGAUUGUUCGUUGCAACGGACCUAAAUGGAUCCGAUGCGCAUUUAAGGGGGCGAAACAGGAUCGACACGUGUCUAAAGACAUGCUUUUCGCCCGGUAUGGUUCCGCCGUCAGCGGGCCGUUUUUACAAGUGCCAAUGAUAACGAUUUGGCCCUCGCUGCUUAAUUAUUAGGUAAGCGCGGUUAGGAGGGACACCGGGCAACAGAAGUCCCU